This 376-nucleotide ribosomal RNA is filed under the name uncultured organism. RNAcentral's name for it is "partial 16S ribosomal RNA". It matches the Rfam family "Bacterial small subunit ribosomal RNA", at positions 524 to 896 of the family's 1533-position model. The record is from RNAcentral.
CGGGGGGGGGGCAAGCGUUGUUCGGGAAUUACUGGGGCGUAAAGGGCGCGCAGGCGGCCUGGCCAGUCCUACGUGAAAUCCCACAGCUCAACUGUGGAACUGCGUGGGAUACUGCCAGGCUUGAGUCCGGGAGAGGAGAGUGGAAUUCCCAGUGUAGCGGUGAAAUGCGUAGAUAUUGGGAGGAACACCGGUGGCGAAGGCGGCUCUCUGGACCGGCACUGACGCUGAGGCGCGAAAGCUAGGGGAGCAAACGGGAUUAGAUACCCCGGUAGUCCUAGCCCUAAACGAUGAGCACUUGGUGUGGCGGGUAUCGACCCCUGCCGUGCCGAAGCUAACGCAUUAAGUGCUCCGCCUGGGGAGUACGGUCGCAAGGCUG